UCUUCGGAGAGUUUGAUCCUGGCUCAGGAUGAACGCUGGCGGCGUGCCUAAUACAUGCAAGUCGAGCGA
This 69-nucleotide ribosomal RNA is filed under the name Priestia megaterium. Its description in RNAcentral is "partial 16S ribosomal RNA". It matches the Rfam family "Bacterial small subunit ribosomal RNA", at positions 1 to 69 of the family's 1533-position model. The record is from RNAcentral. RNAcentral also lists the same sequence under 2 other names. Lineage: Bacteria; Bacillati; Bacillota; Bacilli; Caryophanales; Bacillaceae.